Molecule: non-coding RNA, 507 nt
Organism: Oryctolagus cuniculus (rabbit)
Lineage: Eukaryota; Metazoa; Chordata; Mammalia; Lagomorpha; Leporidae
Source: RefSeq, a predicted model, not a curated record
UGCAUCUAAAUGGUCAACGCUAAGGGCCCCUCCUAGUGUGGGCGUGGCUACCGGCGUUAACCGCAUCCAAGUGAUCCUAUCUAAGGGCGCUUCCUCAGAUGGGCGUGGCUACCUGCGUUAACCGCACCUAAGUGAUCCUAAGGGCUCUUCCACGGAUGGGCGUGGCUACCGGCGUUAACCACAUCUAGGAGCCAGCUCUGUGGCAUAGCGGAUAAAGCCACUGCCUGCAGUGCCAGCAUCCCAUAUGGAUGCCAGUUCAAGUCCCAGCUGCUCCAUUUCCGAUCCAGCUGUCUGCAGUGGCCUGGGAAAGCAGAAGAUGGCCAAGUCCUUGGGCCCCUGCACCCGCUUGGAAGACUGAGAAACAGUUCCUGGCUUCUAGCUUCGGAUUGGCGCAGCUCCGGCUUUUGCGGCCAAAUGGGGAGCGAACCAGCGGAUGAAAGACCUCUCUCUCUGCCUCUGCCUCUCUGUAACUUUGCCAUAAAAAUUAAAAAUUAAAAAAAAAAAAAC